RNAcentral lists this ribosomal RNA (465 nucleotides) under uncultured bacterium. RNAcentral describes it as "partial 16S ribosomal RNA". It matches the Rfam family "Bacterial small subunit ribosomal RNA", at positions 338 to 795 of the family's 1533-position model. The record is from RNAcentral.
CCUACGGGAGGCAGCAGUGGGGAAUUUUGGACAAUGGGCGCAAGCCUGAUCCAGCUAUUCCGCGUGUGGGAUGACGGCCUUCGGGUUGUAAACCACUUUUGUAGAGAACGAAAAGUCUGUUGAUAAUACCGAUAGAUGAUGACGGUACUCUAAGAAUAAGCACCGGCUCACUACGUGCCAGCAGCCGCGGUAAUACGUAGGGUGCGAGCGUUAAUCGGAAUUACUGGGCGUAAAGGGUGUGCAGGCGGGUUUGCAAGAUGGAUGUGAAAGCCCCGGGGUUAACCUGGGAAAGCCAUACAUGACUGCAAGACUAGAGUGCGUCAGAGGGGGGUGGAAUUCCAAGUGUAGCAGUGAAAUGUGUAGAUAUUUGGAAGAACACCGAUGGCGAAGGCAGCCCCCUGGGACGCAACUGACGCUCAUACACGAAAGCGUGGGGAGCAAACAGGAUUAGAUACCCUUGUAGUC